This 381-nucleotide ribosomal RNA is filed under the name Papuascincus sp. Its description in RNAcentral is "partial small subunit ribosomal RNA". It matches the Rfam family "Bacterial small subunit ribosomal RNA", at positions 794 to 1384 of the family's 1533-position model. The record is from RNAcentral. Lineage: Eukaryota; Metazoa; Chordata; Lepidosauria; Squamata; Scincidae.
GCUUAGCCCUAAACACAGAUAUUCUAAUACACUAAUAUCCGCCAGAGAACUACAAGCGAAAAGCUAGAAACUCCAAGGACUUGGCGGUGCUUCAAACCAACCUAGAGGAGCCUGUCCUAUAAUCGAUACUCCACGUUUUACCUUACCCGCCUUAGCCUUCAGCCUAUAUACCGCCGUCGUCAGCCUACCUUAUGAAAGAAACAAAGUAAGCAAAAUAGUUAAUAACUAAAACGUCAGGUCAAGGUGUAGCACAUGGGCGGGCAGAGAUGGGCUACAUUUUCUAAACGAACACACGAAUAACACGUUGAAACACAUGUUCGAAGGCGGAUUUAGUAGUAAAAUAAGCAAGAAAACUCUAUUGAAAGCUGCUCUGAAGCGCGC